Molecule: ribosomal RNA, 467 nt
Filed under: uncultured bacterium
Lineage: Bacteria
Description: partial 16S ribosomal RNA
Rfam family: Bacterial small subunit ribosomal RNA
Source: RNAcentral
ACGCACGCUGGCGGCGUGCUUAACCCAUGCCCGUCGAACGGAAAGGCCCUGCUUUUGUGGGGUGCUCGAGUGGCGAACGGGUGAGUAACACGUGAGUAACCUGCCCUUGACUUUGGGAUAACUUCAGGAAACUGGGGCUAAUACCGGAUAGGAGCUCCUGCCGCAUGGUGGGGGUUGGAAAGUUUCGGCGGUUGGGGAUGGACUCGCGGCUUAUCAGCUUGUUGGUGGGGUAGUGGCUUACCAAGGCUUUGACGGGUAGCCGGCCUGAGAGGGUGACCGGCCACAUUGGGACUGAGAUACGGCCCAGACUCCUACGGGAGGCAGCAGUGGGGAAUAUUGCACAAUGGGCGGAAGCCUGAUGCAGCAACGCCGCGUGCGGGAUGAUGGCCUUCGGGUUGUAAACCGCUUUCGCCUGUGACGAAGCGUGAGUGACGGUAAUGGGUAAAGAAGCACCGACUAACUACGUG